UAGGGAAUCUUCCGCAAUGGGCGAAAGCCUGACGGAGCAACGCCGCGUGAGUGAUGAAGGUCUUCGGAUCGUAAAACUCUGUUAUUAGGGAAGAACAAAUGUGUAAGUAACUAUGCAAGUCUUGACGGUACCUAAUCAGAAAGCCACGGCUAACUACGUGCCAGCAGCCGCGGUAAUACGUAGGUGGCAAGCGUUAUCCGGAAUUAUUGGGCGUAAAGCGCGCGUAGGCGGUUUUUUAAGUCUGAUGUGAAAGCCCACGGCUCAACCGUGGAGGGUCAUUGGAAACUGGAAAACUUGAGUGCAGAAGAGGAAAGUGGAAUUCCAGUUGUAGCGGUGAAAUGCGCAGAGAUAUGGAGGAACACCAGUGGCGAAGGCGACUUUCUGGUCUGUAACUGACGCUGAUGUGCAAAGGCGGGGGGAUCAAACAGG
Molecule: ribosomal RNA, 429 nt
Filed under: Actinomycetes bacterium
Lineage: Bacteria; Bacillati; Actinomycetota; Actinomycetes
Description: Actinobacteria bacterium partial 16S ribosomal RNA
Rfam family: Bacterial small subunit ribosomal RNA
Source: RNAcentral